UUGCUUUUCUUAAAAAUCUUAUUAAUCACAAUUUGUAUUAUCAAUGCGGAUUUAUAUUUGUUUAUAAAAAGUAUUAUAGAUCAGUUUUACUUUGCAUGUACAAAGUUAAAAACGCACUGUUUGUAAUCAUGAUGAAACGUUUUCUUCUUUGUUUGAUGGUAGUGGCUUUGGUAAUGCCGGUUUUAACAAAACCAACAGACGAUGUAAAAACCUCAUCGACCUUGCAUAGUGGUGAAAAAACUGGUGGAGAAAAUAUGGACACUGCUGAAUCCGCCGUCUUUCUACCUCGAUUUACUUAUAGAAGAACACAAAGUCAAAGAUAUAGAUUCUAAAGUCUAUGACUUCUCAAAUUACAAGUAGGAGCUUCAUAUUUUCUAUAAUUUUGUCUUCAUUUGUGUGUAAUUACAUGUUAAUAAAUAAAUACUUACAUUUAAUAUAAAAUAAAUAUUUUGAACUUUAUUUAGCUAGA
Long non-coding RNA from Tribolium madens (black flour beetle), 469 nucleotides. RefSeq lists it as uncharacterized. The record is from RefSeq and is a predicted model, not a curated record. Lineage: Eukaryota; Metazoa; Arthropoda; Insecta; Coleoptera; Tenebrionidae. The transcript has 2 exons.